Esox lucius (northern pike) is the source of this 1998-nucleotide long non-coding RNA. Lineage: Eukaryota; Metazoa; Chordata; Actinopteri; Esociformes; Esocidae. The record is from Ensembl.
UGUGGAAAAAUAUCACUUUUAAUGACAUAAAAAAGAUACAGAAGGCAUACCUUCUAAACCUAAAAUGGCUCAUAUACAUUCAGAUUAUGCAUUCAUUACUAGGAUGUUUGGGUUAAACAAACUUGAUCUUUCCCUCCAUUUAGGAUCAGCAAUACAUAUUCACCACAUGAUAUACAGCAGCAUAUGCUGCCAUUAACUAUACAUUUCCAAAAUAAUUUAUUCCUCUCUCGCUAUCACAGGAAUAUAAAAGUCAUCAUUAAAUUGUACAGUAACAUAAAAACAGUUGCAGCAGAUCCAUGUACUAUGCCUCCUUCAAAGAGCCUACAGUACAGCACAUGCAGUUAGUCAUAAAAUGUGAUAAAGAAAGUAACUGAAGAGUUUCAACAUUAAAAAUGUUCAUUUGUUACACUCUACAAUAAUAAAAAUGUUUUAAUAAUAACAUUAUCUGUUUUAGGGAGACAGUUGUACAAUCAAGGCAGUGCCUUGGUCCAGGUUCACACACACUGUGUAGGGUGAUCAUCUUAAUAUCUGAAGGCUUGAAGAACUCCGCGAUUAUUUCUUCUUCUGAGAGGAGAGAAAGACAAAAACAAAGGCUCUGUUGACUUAGCCAGCUGUAGGUCUGAUGAUUUAGGCACCCAAAGAGCAGGAAUGAAUGGUAGAGAAAUGGAAAGGACUUGUUAACACUACACCUUGAUCAAGAGGAGGAUAAUAGCUUCUGUACCUUUUUAGAAAGGGUCUCUGUGGGGGCUGGAGGGUCUUGUACAGGCAGGUCUUGGACGGGACUGACCAGUAUCUCACUCACUGCAGUCUUCUCUGAAAGCUUCAGCUUCUUCUCUGUAUUAUAAUAAUUUUUUUUUACACAAAGACAAUCAGAAAUCAUAAGUAUAAAAAUAUGUAAACAUUUCUUUUACUCUCUGAAACAACCUUUUUAGCGUAGGUCACUUACUUUUCUUCUCUGUUUGCAGAUGAGGUACUACUGUGGUGGAUGGAGGUGGUAAAUCCUGGUCAAAGCUGUUUACUUUGGUCUUCUCUUUUUUCUUAUGUUUUUCUAGUUCUUUCUCUGUCUCAUUCGUCUCGUCUGUUUUUUUCUUCUUCUUUUUCUUCCUCUUCUUUUCUACUUCAUUCUCGUUCUCCUUACUUACCUCCUCUGGUUUCUUGAUUUUCAGUUCUUUUUCCAUCUCAUUGUCCUUGCAUAUCUUCUCAGUUUUUUUCUUAACCUUACUCUCUGUACUUAUUGUCUCCAGUUUCGACUUAAUUUCCUUUUUACUUUUUUCCACUCCAUUUUCCUUCGUUGUCUCUGCUUUCUUCACCUUUGACUUAGAUUUAUUAUUUUCCUUGGCCUUUUUCUUUUUACCUGCCUUCUCUUCAUCUGCCUCCUUUUUCGUCUUCUUAGAUUCUAAUGAAAUGUCAAGGUGGACAUUUUCAUUUUUCCUCUUUCCUUUCUUUUUUCCACUAGGUGUUGGGGUGCCGGGCAUUGAGAGUGACGGUUGAAGUUCUAUAGUCGUUAGGUCAGCUGUAUUAUUAUUGUCAUCUGCUUGGCCUAUGGGGAACAUCAGUUGGGCUGAUGCCAUGGGAGGUGUGUCCUUCACGGCUCUACUAGACUUGGCUUUCCUAGGUUUUGGUUGUGUCUUGGUCUUCCCAUUCUGUUCAAUCCCACCUUCCUUCUCUUUUGUGGUGUUGACCUGUUUAGCAGGACUAGCCCUAGGUUUCGGUGUCUUCAGUGCAGCUUUAGCCCUGGGCUUCUUCAGUACUCCUAUUUUCUUCGCUGGAGAGGUGGGAGAAGGUACAGUUUUCAGAGCUGUGAUGGCAUCCAUCUUGGCGAUGUCAGUGUCUGUGGACAAAGGUGUGGGUAGAAAGCAAAAAUGUCAAUACCUCCUGAAUGUAAAAUAUAUCAUAUAGCUCUCUAUUCUGUUUUCCCCAAUUAAGUAAUUACAUGCUGAUGCUGUGUCUUCCAGCUGUUUUCAAGCUUUUGAGUCCUCUACUGCUCUUUUACUAACA